Molecule: ribosomal RNA, 253 nt
Filed under: uncultured bacterium
Lineage: Bacteria
Description: partial 16S ribosomal RNA
Rfam family: Bacterial small subunit ribosomal RNA
Source: RNAcentral
UACAGAGGUGGCAAGCAUUGUUCGGAAUUACUGGGCGUAAAGGGCGCGUAGGCGGUCUUGCAAGUCCCGUGUGAAAUCCCUCGGCUCAACUGAGGAACUGCACGGGAAACUGCUUGGCUUGAGUUCGGGAGAGGGAAGCGGAAUUCCGGGUGUAGCGGUGAAAUGCGUAGAUAUCCGGAGGAACACCGGUGGCGAAGGCGGCUUCCUGGACCGACACUGACGCUGAGGAGCGAAAGCCAGGGGAGCAAACGGG